Molecule: unclassified non-coding RNA, 224 nt
Filed under: plant metagenome
Description: partial contains small subunit ribosomal RNA, internal transcribed spacer 1, and 5.8S ribosomal RNA
Source: RNAcentral
UUUCCGUAGGUGAACCUGCGGAAGGAUCAUUACUGAGAACGUGCCCUUCGCGGUACAUCUCCCACCCUGUGUUUUCACUACCUUUGUUGCUUUGGCAGGCCCGCCCUCGGGCCGCCGGCUCCGGCUGGCCAGCGUCUGCCAGAGGAUUCAAAACUCAUGGUUAUUUUUGCCGUUUGAGUACUAUACAAUAGUUAAAACUUUCAACAACGGAUCUCUUGGUUCUG